AAGGAUUGGCAAUCUGCCGCUAGCAGCAAGACUGCUGGAGGAAAGUCUGGGCAGCAUAGAGCAUCACGCUUCCUAACGGGAAGAUACUCGCAAGGGUAUAGUAGUGUAACAGAGAAUAACCGCCCUGCUUGCAGGGUAAGGGUGAAAAGGUGGGGUAAGAGCCCACCGGUAGCCAUGGCAACAUGGUUAGCCGUACGCCUGGUGAGCUGCAAGACCAUGUAUACCGACGCUUAGGGUUGCUCGCUCAAGUCGGGGGGUAGGUCGCUAGAGCUGACAGGUGACUGUCAGUCGAGAUAAAUGGCAGAGCCUCGCAAGAGGAACAGAACCCGGCUUAUCGCCAAUCCUUUUUU
Molecule: RNase P RNA, 350 nt
Filed under: Acetobacteroides hydrogenigenes
Lineage: Bacteria; Pseudomonadati; Bacteroidota; Bacteroidia; Bacteroidales; Rikenellaceae
Description: Bacteroidetes bacterium RL-C Bacterial RNase P class A
Rfam family: Bacterial RNase P class A
About the family: Ribonuclease P (RNase P) is a ubiquitous endoribonuclease, found in archaea, bacteria and eukarya as well as chloroplasts and mitochondria. Its best characterised activity is the generation of mature 5'-ends of tRNAs by cleaving the 5'-leader elements of precursor-tRNAs.
Source: Rfam by way of RNAcentral